This 209-nucleotide long non-coding RNA is filed under the name Elaeis guineensis (African oil palm). RNAcentral's name for it is "long non-coding RNA (EGUI_LNC080775)". The record is from RNAcentral. Lineage: Eukaryota; Viridiplantae; Streptophyta; Magnoliopsida; Arecales; Arecaceae.
CUAUGUAUGUGACCCCAUAAGUUCGAACCUAAGCUGGUAGCACAAGAAUAAUUUCUAUACUAAUUGAUGUAACCAUCUAGCAAUGGGGCCUGACGUCUGGAUAGGCCAAAUGUAUGCCCAGCAAUAAUCUAGAACCUAUGUGGAUAUAGUUACCGUAUAAUUCAUCCCUUUGACACUCGAUGCUCAAAGAUGACUAAAGAUAAACUGUC